AUUGAACGCUGGCGGCAUGCCUUACACAUGCAAGUCGAACGGCAGCAUGGAGAGCUUGCUCUCUGAUGGCGAGUGGCGAACGGGUGAGUAAUGCAUCGGAACGUACCGUGUAAUGGGGGAUAACGUAGCGAAAGUUACGCUAAUACCGCAUACGACCUGAGGGUGAAAGCAGGGGAUCGCAAGACCUUGCGUUAUACGAGCGGCCGAUGUCAGUUUAGCUAGUUGGUGCGGUAAAGGCUCACCAAGGCGACGAUCUGUAGCGGGUCUGAUAGGAUGAUCCGCCACGCUGGGACUGAGACACGGCCCAGACUCCUACGGGAGGCAGCAGUGGGGAAUUUUGGACAAUGGGGGCAACCCUGAUCCAGCCAUGCCGCGUGAGUGAAGAAGGCCUUCGGGUUGUAAAGCUCUUUCGGCCGGGAAGAAAUCGCACAGGCUAAUACUCUGUGUGGAUGACGGUACCGGCAUAAGAAGCACCGGCUAACUACGUGCCAGCAGCCGCAGUAA
Molecule: ribosomal RNA, 504 nt
Filed under: uncultured bacterium
Lineage: Bacteria
Description: partial 16S ribosomal RNA
Rfam family: Bacterial small subunit ribosomal RNA
Source: RNAcentral